This 347-nucleotide ribosomal RNA is filed under the name uncultured bacterium. RNAcentral describes it as "partial 16S ribosomal RNA". It matches the Rfam family "Bacterial small subunit ribosomal RNA", at positions 338 to 682 of the family's 1533-position model. The record is from RNAcentral.
CCUACGGGAGGCAGCAGUGAGGAAUAUUGGUCAAUGGGCGCGAGCCUGAACCAGCCAAGUCGCGUGAGGGAUGAAGGUUCUAUGGAUCGUAAACCUCUUUUAUAAGGGAAUAAAGUGUGGGACGUGUCCUAUUUUGUAUGUACCUUAUGAAUAAGGAUCGGCUAACUCCGUGCCAGCAGCCGCGGUAAGACGGAGGAUCCGAGCGUUAUCCGGAUUUAUUGGGUUUAAAGGGUGCGUAGGAGGCCUUUUAAGUCAGCGGUGAAAGUCUGUGGCUCAACCAUAGAAUUGCCGGUGAAACUGGGGGGCUUGAUUAUGUUUGCGGCAGGCGGACUGCGUGGUGUAGCGGU